This 232-nucleotide ribosomal RNA is filed under the name uncultured bacterium. Its description in RNAcentral is "partial 16S ribosomal RNA". It matches the Rfam family "Bacterial small subunit ribosomal RNA", at positions 118 to 347 of the family's 1533-position model. The record is from RNAcentral.
UGAGCAAUCUGCCCUUCUCAUCGGAAUAAGCGUUGGAAACGACGUCUAAUGCCGAAUACGACCUCCUUUCGCAUGAUCGGAGGUGGAAAGCUCCGGCGGAGAAGGAUGAGCUCGCGGACUAUCAGCUAGUUGGUGUGGGUAAUGGCCCACCAAGGCGACGACGGGUAGCCGGCCUGAGAGGGUGACCGGCCACACUGGGACUGAGACACGGCCCAGACUCCUACGGGAGCAG